GGUUGUGUGCCAUAAUGGUUUGAGUGUUGGACUAUGACUCUGGAGACCAGGGUUCGAAUCCCAGCUUGGUCA
RNAcentral lists this transfer RNA (72 nucleotides) under Phrynosoma platyrhinos (Desert horned lizard). RNAcentral describes it as "tRNA-OTHER". The record is from RNAcentral. Lineage: Eukaryota; Metazoa; Chordata; Lepidosauria; Squamata; Phrynosomatidae.